GUGCUCACUUCGGCAGCACCUAUACUAAAACUGAACCGAUACAGAGAAGAUUAGCGUGGCCCCUGUGCAAGGAUGACAUGCAAAUUUGUGAAGCAUUCCUUAUUUUU
This 107-nucleotide small nuclear RNA is filed under the name Mus spicilegus (steppe mouse). Lineage: Eukaryota; Metazoa; Chordata; Mammalia; Rodentia; Muridae. The record is from RNAcentral.